Long non-coding RNA from Oncorhynchus tshawytscha (Chinook salmon), 3205 nucleotides. The record is from Ensembl. NCBI's taxonomy places the organism in Eukaryota, Metazoa, Chordata, Actinopteri, Salmoniformes, Salmonidae.
AAUAAAUUAUGUUACCUAUUAUUGAUAAGACUGGUCUCCGUCUAUUUUAUGCAAACAAGAAUCUUACAAAUUCUCAUAAAAUAGAUUAAGGGAAUUCAAUUAAUGAAAACACAUUGGUAUAAUUAAAUUACAGUAACAAUUGGUCCUUCUAGCGGGAUUCCACAAACUUGCCUCUGUCGUCCGAAGGGAAAGCCGAAAGCCGUGCACGGACGAGUCUGGACUCGUUAUUUAAAGACCUGGCCUCUGGAUUAAGGUUUAACAAAACAGGCCGGUAUAAAGAUCUAAGGGCGACAGAGAGGGUGACGGAAUCGAACCAGCAUUGCUUUUCCCAGUCUACAGGACGAAGAUUUUAUGCACUACAGGUGAAUUACAGGUGAAGUCACUCAAUCCAAUCCCUGAGGCCUGUUGGGGGGACCAUACCAAGGACUCCUGGUGACAGCUAGCUGAAAGAGCUACCCGGAUUCAUAUCACACUGCGGGAGGGUAAGACACAAUGACACUGUCGAACAAUAACAGUGUUCGAGAGGAGAACUGGAAUUAACAGAAUUCUGGGGGCCAUCUCUCGAAUUAAGAUUUCCUUUCCCGUCAUUCCAUCCAUGUUUUUGUUCAUAGAAGUGAAAGUGUGUCUGGCUCUUGCUAAUGAUGUGUUCUCUGGAAGAGGGUGGGGCUUUAUGGGUGGGCUGUCCAUCCUGAGUUGUCUGGUUGUGGGAGCCUUAUUCCUGAUACACCAUGAACACAGAGAAGGCCAGAGGGUAAUAUUGACAUAGUUAAACUAUGAGGAUUUAGUAUUAAUAACCAUGCAUAAGAGAUCACUUGAUCUGGAUAAACAGGAAGUGAGAGUGGGAUUGGGAAGGAUGUCUCAGUGGAGUUCUAUGUAGACCAAAUGGGGCCUCUGACUCCUUGGCAGUUCAGGAUUAAGAGCAGCUAUUAUGGAAGACAUCUAUGCAAGUCCCUGUGUAGUUCAUGGGAACAGGUUAUAGCUCACAUCAUGUGAGAGGGCUACAUAAAUCUACAUACCCAGUAUGGAAGAAGAUGGAGUGUAGUGAAAGUAAGGGUUUCAGUUGAUAAUCUAGUGCAUUCUGGGUAGAAACAGUUAGAGCAUAUAAUUGCUCUAUAGUCAGCGGAAUACAAGCAGAAUCCCCCUGACAAAGCAGAUACUGACUGUGGAGUUGUCCAGAGCCAAGAGUCGGUGUGGAUAGUUCAGAUGAAAGAUCUUAAGGAAAGGGAAACUGGUUAUGAGGAUUCUAACCUCUGGUUAGAGUGGAUUCAAUAUACGGCCAGAUCAAUACCUAAAGAAGAUAGCUAUGCUUGUGCCACAGCAAACCUCAGUUGACAACCAUCCCUUUUCCAUUAAAUGGAAUUAAUUCACCUAAGGGAAUGGCCUGUAUGGUAAAGCUAUUCAUUGAAGCAGGAAAGCCAGAUAAUAACAGUUGUAUGGAUUUGAACUAUUUAUAUCCACAUGUUCCUCUGAAAUCUAAGCUUCCUCCUUUCACAGAGGCAAGGGGAGACUGUUUACUGUUUGAUUCGGUAUAGUACUUCUGGGAAAUAUGUGGGGAAAAUCAGUACCUGCAAUAGGACAGAUAAUGUUACUUCCGAUGCAGCAAAUGAGUGAUUUGGCAGGCUGGUUGAGAUCUGGGGAUUUCAGUAAGAUAAGGAGGCCCAGGGCACACAUCUGGUGGUGGUUGUGUGGGGGAAUGACGUUAUGGCUGAGUAUUACUGGCUAAUUGGACAGGGGUAUGUGCACUGGUACAUUUGAGAAUGCCUUUCACACUCAUUCAACACCAUGACAUGAUGUUGACUAAACGGGAGAAAAGAAGUACUCCGUCUGGGUCUUUUGAUGAUAGGGUUUGUAUUAAUAACAUUGUGGUUCCACGGGGGGCCAGAUGAGAUCAAAGCUAUAAAUUAGAUCCUGGCAGGAUUAGAGUCAAGUAUUUUUUGGUGGUCCACUCUCAAUGAGAAUGUGGAUUGGAUCAAUUAUAUCUAUUAAAAAUCCACAGCGCUUCACCAAUUAUAUCAGAGAUGUAAUGAAUGGCUUGGCAGAAUAGAAUAGUCUUGGAUAUGUUUGCUGGCUGAAAAGGGUGGGAGUGUAUGGAGGUAGUUUGGAAGCCGAUGACACAGCUCCGGAUGGAUCAGUGACCAAGGCCUUGGCUGGUUUACACACCCUAGCUCACGAGUUGGCAGUGAACUCAGGGGUGAAUACUUCUUUGACUAAUUGGGUUGACAGUGUGUUUGGAAGAUGGAAAAAUUUUAUGAUUACUGUGUUUAUGGGCUACCUUCACCUAUGUGACUGUGUUAGUUUUGUGUGGAUGUGUUUUGAUUGCGUGUAUGAAAGUUAUCAUUUCCAGGACUCUGGAGAAAUCAAUGACACUUCAGAUGGUGAUAUAUGGACCAAUCCUAAGCUCUGACCAGUGGAAUACAAAAUACAUGGCUCCGGACGUAAUUGAAGAAUCCGGAUCCUUUCACUCGCGAGGAGACCAUAUUUGAUGUUUAGGGAAUUUAGAUGUUUUCUUGUUUCAAUGUAUAGACUGUUUUUUCAUGGAGAUUGUAACGGGAAAUCCUGAUAAGUAGAGUUAAGAUUCUGAUGUAGGUUAGAACAGUCAUUGAAGUUGAUUGUGUGUACAUACAUGUAUUGGUGUUACGGAUACAAGUAUCCUGUGUGUGUAUCCUGUGUGUGUUUCUUUUCUCUCCUUCUCCCCUCACAGGUGAAAAUCAUCACUCCCCAAUCAGACAACAAUCAAUCAUCAAUCAGAAGACACACCUCCUCCUGUUUCCUACCCUAUCACAGUUCCUUUCCCUUGGUUUAAAACCCCCAUCAGUUGUUUGCUCUAGAGCUCAAUCUCUCUGUAAAUGCCAUGUCUGUAGGUCUCACUCUCAGGUUUCACUCUCGCUUUGUGUCUUAACCUCUCUUUUGUUUGAGCACCUCCAAAUCACUUUGUCAACUCCUGUGAGUAUUGUUUUUGGUUAUGGUGUUUGUUUGUUGCUGGUGGGAAAAGGGGGAAACCAAGACAAGUCGCCCAUGGGCAUACACUACCCGUAGGUGAACUUUGUUAAAUACACUAGUUAGAACUGGGCGGACCACCCACUGUAUUUUUGGUUAGUUAGCUGUUGUUAAAGUAGGCUAGUCUAGCUUAGGGGUGUUUUUGUAUAUUUAUUGUUUCUUUCCUUGGGUCCAGCUCAGCCCCUUUUCCUGCUCCCCCCCAUUACCG